UGUGGAAGAAGUUGGCUGGAAAGAAAAUGUUCCAUGUGAGGAAUGGCAAGAAAGUGAGAUUCUUGGUGUUGAUAAUUGGGUAUGAAAUGAGACUAAACAUGCUUUAAGGAUUUUGAGAGUAUUGUGGAGAAAGUAGAGAGACUGAAAGAAUGAAGGGAAUAUUUUUUUCAUUAAUUCUUGCCUUUGUGUCAUCUCUUCUUACCACAUGACUUUUCAUUCUUUGAUAGAAAUAAUAGAAACUUCUCCC
RNAcentral lists this long non-coding RNA (247 nucleotides) under Vigna radiata. RNAcentral's name for it is "long non-coding RNA (VRAD_LNC014279)". The record is from RNAcentral. Lineage: Eukaryota; Viridiplantae; Streptophyta; Magnoliopsida; Fabales; Fabaceae.